Molecule: unclassified non-coding RNA, 277 nt
Filed under: plant metagenome
Description: partial contains small subunit ribosomal RNA, internal transcribed spacer 1, and 5.8S ribosomal RNA
Source: RNAcentral
UUUCCGUAGGUGAACCUGCGGAAGGAUCAUUAACAAAUCCAUGUUGUUGUUGUUAUGAUUGUUUUUGUUGAUCUGCUUGCCAUGUUUGUUCACUCUGUUCAAAUGCGUGUGUACAUUAAUGAUGUAUUCAUUACAAGCCUACAUUAGUUCCAUAUGUUUACAUAUUAGUUCGGUGGCUUUGUGUACGCAUUGUGUGAUACAUUUCUACGAAUCGUCUGAUUUCUUGAUUUCGAAUCAUAUUAGGCAAUAACUUUCAACAAUGGAUCUCUUGGCUCUU